UACGGAAGGCAGCAGUGGGGAAUAUUGCACAAUGGGCGCAAGCCUGAUGCAGCCAUGCCGCGUGUAUGAAGAAGGCCUUCGGGUUGUAAAGUACUUUCAGUCGUGAGGAAGGUGUUAAGGUUAAUAACCUUAGCAAUUGACGUUAGCGACAGAAGAAGCACCGGCUAACUCCGUGCCAGCAGCCGCGGUAAUACGGAGGGUGCGAGCGUUAAUCGGAAUUACUGGGCGUAAAGGGCACGCAGGCGGUUAAUUAAGUUGGAUGUGAAAUCCCCGGGCUUAACCUGGGAAUGGCAUUCAAGACUGGUUAGCUAGAGUCUUGUAGAGGGGGUUAGAAUUCCAUGUGUAGCGGUGAAAUGCGUAGAGAUGUGGAGGAAUACCGGUGGCGAAGGCGGCCCCUGGGACAAAGACUGACGCUCAUGUGCGAAAGCGUGGGGAGCAAACGAGGAUUAGAUACC
RNAcentral lists this ribosomal RNA (455 nucleotides) under uncultured bacterium. Its description in RNAcentral is "bacterial SSU rRNA". It matches the Rfam family "Bacterial small subunit ribosomal RNA", at positions 340 to 786 of the family's 1533-position model. The record is from RNAcentral.